UGGUCUAUCAUGCAGUCGAGCGAAUCGAUGGGAGCUUGCUCCCUGAGAUUAGCGGCGGACGGGUGAGUAACACGUGGGCAACCUGCCUAUAAGACUGGGAUAACUUCGGGAAACCGGAGCUAAUACCGGAUACGUUCUUUUCUCGCAUGAGAGAAGAUGGAAAGACGGUUUACGCUGUCACUUAUAGAUGGGCCCGCGGCGCAUUAGCUAGUUGGUGAGGUAAUGGCUCACCAAGGCGACGAUGCGUAGCCGACCUGAGAGGGUGAUCGGCCACACUGGGACUGAGACACGGCCCAGACUCCUACGGGAGGCAGCAGUAGGGAAUCUUCCGCAAUGGACGAAAGUCUGACGGAGCAACGCCGCGUGAACGAAGAAGGCCUUCGGGUCGUAAAGUUCUGUUGUUAGGGAAGAACAAGUACCAGAGUAACUGCUGGUACCUUGACGGUACCUAACCAGAAAGCCACGGCUAACUACGUGCCAGCAGCCGCGGUAAUACGUAGGUGGCAAGCGUUGUCCGGAAUUAUUGGGCGUAAAGCGCGCGCAGGUGGUUCCUUAAGUCUGAUGUGAAAGCCCACGGCUCAACCGUGGAGGGUCAUUGGAAACUGGGGAACUUGAGUGCAGAAGAGGAAAGUGGAAUUCCAAGUGUAGCGGUGAAAUGCGUAGAGAUUUGGAGGAACACCAGUGGCGAAGGCGACUUUCUGGUCUGUAACUGACACUGAGGCGCGAAAGCGUGGGGAGCAAACAGGAGUAGAUACCCUGGUAGUCCACGCCGUAAACGAUGAGUGCUAAGUGUUAGAGGGUUUCCGCCCUUUAGUGCUGCAGCUAACGCAUUAAGCACUCCGCCUGGGGAGUACGGCCGCAAGGCUGAAACUCAAAGGAAUUGACGGGGGCCCGCACAAGCGGUGGAGCAUGUGGUUUAAUUCGAAGCAACGCGAAGAACCUUACCAGGUCUUGACAUCCUCUGACAACCCUAGAGAUAGGGCUUUCCCCUUCGGGGGACAGAGUGACAGGUGGUGCAUGGUUGUCGUCAGCUCGUGUCGUGAGAUGUUGGGUUAAGUCCCGCAACGAGCGCAACCCUUGAUCUUAGUUGCCAGCAUUCAGUUGGGCACUCUAAGGUGACUGCCGGUGACAAACCGGAGGAAGGUGGGGAUGACGUCAAAUCAUCAUGCCCCUUAUGACCUGGGCUACACACGUGCUACAAUGGAUGGUACAAAGGGCUGCAAACCUGCGAAGGUAAGCGAAUCCCAUAAAGCCAUUCUCAGUUCGGAUUGCAGGCUGCAACUCGCCUGCAUGAAGCCGGAAUCGCUAGUAAUCGCGAUCAGCUGCCACGCC
RNAcentral lists this ribosomal RNA (1332 nucleotides) under Bacillus sp. SB-14. Its description in RNAcentral is "bacterial SSU rRNA". It matches the Rfam family "Bacterial small subunit ribosomal RNA", at positions 45 to 1360 of the family's 1533-position model. The record is from RNAcentral. Lineage: Bacteria; Bacillati; Bacillota; Bacilli; Caryophanales; Bacillaceae.